This 519-nucleotide ribosomal RNA is filed under the name uncultured bacterium. Its description in RNAcentral is "bacterial SSU rRNA". It matches the Rfam family "Bacterial small subunit ribosomal RNA", at positions 21 to 518 of the family's 1533-position model. The record is from RNAcentral.
GGCUCAGAACGAACGCUGGCGGCGUGCUUAACACAUGCAAGUCGAGCGCGAAAGGGACUUCGGUCCUGAGUAAAGUGGCGCACGGGUGAGUAACGCGUAGAUAACCUGUCUUCAUGUCUGGAAUAAUACGCCGAAAGGGGUACUAAUACCGGAUAUUCUUGCUUUUCAUAAGUUAUGCAAGCAAAGGUGGCCUCUGCAUAUGCUACUGCAUGAAGAGGGGUCUGCGUACCAUUAGCUAGUAGGUGGGGGUAAUGGCCUACCUAGGCGACGAUGGUUAGCGGGUCUGAGAGGAUGAUCCGCCACACUGGCACUGGAACACGGGCCAGACUCCUACGGGAGGCAGCAGUGAGGAAUAUUGCGCAAUGGGGGAAACCCUGACGCAGCGACGCCGCGUGAAGUGAGGAAGGCCUUCGGGUCGUAAAGCUCUGUCAAGAGGAAAGAAGUGUACAAUGGCUAAUACCUGUUGUAUUUGACGGUACCUCUAAAGGAAGCACCGGCUAACUCCGUGCCAGCCGCCGC